RNAcentral lists this ribosomal RNA (218 nucleotides) under uncultured bacterium. RNAcentral's name for it is "partial 16S ribosomal RNA". It matches the Rfam family "Bacterial small subunit ribosomal RNA", at positions 328 to 539 of the family's 1533-position model. The record is from RNAcentral.
ACGCUCGACACCUACGGGAGGCAGCAGUGAGGAAUAUUGGUCAAUGGACGCAAGUCUGGACCAGCCAUGCCGCGUGCAGGAUGACGGCUCUAUGAGUUGUAAACUGCUUUUGUACGAGGGUAAACGCAGAUACGUGUAUCUGUCUGAAAGUAUCGUACGAAUAAGGAUCGGCUAACUCCGUGCCAACAGCCGCGGUAAUCUGAGCGGGCUGGCAAGGC